Molecule: RNA transcript, 6814 nt
Organism: Gymnodraco acuticeps
Lineage: Eukaryota; Metazoa; Chordata; Actinopteri; Perciformes; Bathydraconidae
Gene: cltcl1
Gene name: clathrin, heavy chain-like 1
Exons: 33
Source: RefSeq, a predicted model, not a curated record
UACGACACAGGGAACUCACGAGAGCUCAUCAAUUACAAUGAGUCAGCGUGGAUUUUUUUAGCACGCCCCUCGAUCCUUCUACAAUUCUCUUGGAUCACACACUAGUUGAAGAGGACUAGUUUUCUUGGCGGAGGUGCGGAGUUUUUGAUUCAGGACUGCUGUAUGGGGGCUACUGAAUGGGAGCAGUCACUGGAUUCGUGUGAUACCAACGCAAUACACCAGACUACCUACCACUGCCCAUCGGAUUUGACUUUUUGGGACGUUUAGGGCACAAACAGAACAAGAUCACCUCUAUUUCUCCGGUUGUCCCCUUCCCCUUUCCUUUCUCACGGAUUGUUCUGAAAGAGAAAUCCUGCAGUCAUGGCUCAAAUACUGCCGAUACGAUUUCAGGAACAUCUGCAGCUGCAGAACAUGGGCGUGAACCCCGCCAACAUUGGGUUCAGCUAUCUGACCAUGGAGUCAGACAAGUUCAUCUGCAUCAGAGAGAAGGUGGGCGAUCAGAACCAGGUGGUGAUCGUGGACAUGUCCGACCCCACCAACCCCAUCAGGAGACCCAUCUCUGCUGACAGCGCCAUCAUGAACCCCGCCAGCAAGGUCAUCGCCUUGAAAGACGCUGCCAAGACGCUGCAGAUCUUCAACAUCGAGAUGAAGAGUAAGGUGAAGGCUCACACCAUGACGGAGGAGGUCAUGUUCUGGAAGUGGAUAUCGGUAAACACCGUUGCAUUGGUCACAGAUACGGCCGUCUAUCACUGGAGCAUGGAGGGGGAUUCCCAGCCCACCAAAGUAUUCGAUCGGCACGCCAGUCUGGCCGGAUGUCAGAUCAUUAACUACAGAACUGACGAACAACAGAAAUGGCUACUGCUGAUCGGGAUUUCUGCACAGCAAAACCGUGUGGUAGGGGCGAUGCAGCUGUACUCUGUUGACAGGAAAGUGUCCCAGCCCAUCGAGGGCCACGCUGCGGCCUUCGGGGAGUUCAAGGUGGAGGGAAAUGCCAAAGCAUCCACCCUCUUCUGCUUUGCUGUGCGCUCACAGGCUGGGGGAAAGUUGCACAUCAUUGAAGUUGGUCAGCCAGCUGCAGGAAACCAGCCAUUUGCAAAGAAAGCAGUGGACGUGUUCUUCCCUCCAGAGGCCCAGACAGACUUUCCUGUUGCUAUGCAGAUUGGCAACAAGCAUGGUGUAAUAUAUUUGAUCACAAAGUAUGGUUACAUUCACCUGUAUGACCUGGAGUCUGGAGUCUGCAUCUACAUGAACCGAAUCAGUGCAGAGACCAUCUUUGUUACCGCCCCUCAUGAAGCCACCUCAGGAAUUAUUGGGGUCAACAAGAAGGGACAGGUGUUGUCAGUGUGUGUUGAGGAGGAAAACAUUGUCAACUAUGCCACCAACGUCCUGCAGAAUCCUGAUCUAGCCUUGAGAAUUGCUGUGAGGUCAAACCUCGCUGGGGCCGAGGAGAUUUUUGACAGGAAGUUCAACACUCUGUUUGCACAGGGAAGUUAUUCAGAGUCCGCAAAGGUUGCUGCAUCAGCACCCAAGGGUAUCCUGAGGACAGCAGAGACCAUCCGUAAGUUUCAGAGUGUCCCUGCCCAGCCCGGGCAGGCGUCUCCACUGCUGCAGUACUUUGGUAUUCUGCUGGACCAAGGCCAGCUCAACAAGUUUGAGUCUCUGGAGCUGUGCAGGCCCGUCCUGCAGCAGGGCCGCAAACAGCUGCUGGAGAAAUGGCUAAAGGAGGACAAGCUUGAGUGCUCAGAGGAGCUGGGAGACCUGGUGAAGGCCUCUGACGCCACCCUCGCUCUCAGUGUGUACCUCAGAGCCAACGUCCCCAACAAGGUCAUCCAGUGCUUCGCUGAGACGGGACAGUUCCAGAAGAUAGUGUUGUACGCUAAAAAGGUGGCCUACACCCCAGACUGGGUGUUUUUGCUGAGAAAUGUGAUGCGUGUCAACCCAGACCAGGGACUGCAGUUCGCCCAGAUGCUGGUGCAGGACGAGGAGCCGCUGGCCAACAUCAACCAGAUUGUAGAUGUGUUCAUGGAGGGAAACCUGAUCCAGCAGUGCACCUCCUUCCUGUUGGAUGCACUAAAGAACAACCGCCCGGCCGAAGGACACUUACAGACACGCCUGCUUGAGAUGAACCUCAUACAUGCUCCCCAGGUAGCAGAUGCGAUCCUGGGGAACCAGAUGUUUACCCACUAUGACCGUGCCCACGUUGCUCAGCUGUGUGAGAAGGCAGGACUGCUGCAGAGGGCUCUUGAACACUUCACAGACCUGUAUGAUAUCAAACGGGCCGUGGUGCACACACAUCUGCUCAACCCUGAGUGGCUGGUAAACUUCUUUGGAUCUUUAUCAGUGGAAGACUCGCUGGAGUGUUUAAGGGCCAUGUUGUCGGCUAACAUCAGGCAGAACCUGCAGCUGAGUGUCCAGGUAGCGUCUAAGUAUCAUGAGCAGCUCGGGACCCAGUCCUUAGUGGAGCUCUUUGAAUCCUUCAAGAGUUAUGAGGGCUUGUUUUACUUCCUUGGGUCGAUUGUGAAUUUCAGCCAGGAGCCUGAUGUUCAUUUUAAGUACAUCCAGGCUGCCUGCAAAACAGGCCAGAUCAAAGAAGUGGAGAGAAUCUGUAGAGAGAGCAACUGCUACGACCCGGAGAGGGUUAAAAACUUCCUCAAGGAGGCCAAGCUGACAGACCAGCUUCCUCUCAUCAUUGUGUGUGAUCGCUUUGACUUCGUCCAUGACCUGGUGCUCUACCUCUACCGCAACAAUCUGCAGAAAUACAUUGAAAUCUACGUACAGAAAGUGAACCCCAGUCGUUUACCGGUGGUGAUAGGCGGCCUGUUGGAUGUGGACUGUGCCGAGGACGUCAUUAAGAACCUGAUCAUGGUGGUCAGAGGGCAAUUUUCCACUGAUGAGUUGGUGGAGGAAGUAGAGAAGAGGAACCGGUUAAAACUUCUAUUGCCAUGGCUGGAGUCCCGUAUUCAUGAUGGAUGCGAGGAGCCGGCUACCCACAAUGCCCUGGCCAAGAUCUACAUCGACAGCAACAACACACCUGAGCGCUUCCUGAAGGAGAACACGUUCUACGACAGCGCCGUGGUCGGGAAAUACUGCGAGAAGAGAGACCCCCACCUGGCCUGUGUGGCGUAUGAGAGAGGAGAGUGUGACCUGGAUCUCAUCAAAGUGUGCAACGAGAACUCCUUAUUCAAGAGUGAGGCUCGAUAUCUGGUGCGAAGGAAAGAUCCCGAGCUAUGGGCGAAUGUUUUGGAGGAAGACAACCCCUUCAGAAGACAGCUAAUCGACCAGGUGGUGCAGACAGCGCUGUCGGAGACCCAGGACCCAGAGGAGGUCUCGGUCACAGUUAAGGCCUUCAUGACGGCAGACCUGCCGAACGAGCUGAUUGAACUUCUGGAGAAGAUUGUUCUAGAUAACUCUGUCUUCAGUGAGCACAGAAAUCUCCAGAACCUGCUCAUUUUGACGGCCAUCAAAGCCGAUCGCACUCGUGUGAUGGAGUACAUCAACAAGCUAGACAACUACGACGCUCCAGACAUUGCUAAUAUUGCCAUCAGCAAUGAGCUCUUUGAAGAAGCGUUUGCCAUUUUCAAGAAAUUUGAUGUUAACACAUCAGCCAUACAGGUAUUGAUAGAGCACAUAGGGAACUUGGAUCGUGCCUAUGAGUUUGCUGAGCGCUGUAAUGAGCCCGCGGUGUGGAGCCAGUUAGCCAGAGCUCAGCUGCAGAGGGAUCUGGUGAAGGAGGCCAUCGACUCGUAUAUCAAAGCCGUUGACCCUUCAGCUUACAUGGAGGUGGUCAACGCAGCCAGCAAGAACAAUAACUGGGAAGACUUGGUCAAAUUCCUCCAGAUGGCUCGAAAGAAAGCGAGAGAGUCGUAUGUAGAGACAGAGCUGAUCUUUGCUUUAGCUAAAACAAACCGUCUGGCAGAGCUGGAGGAGUUUGUCAGUGGGCCCAACAAUGCUCACAUUCAGCAGGUGGGUGAUAGAUGUUAUGAUGAGGGCAUGUACGACGCAGCCAAGCUCCUGUACAACAAUGUUUCCAACUUCGCUCGCCUCGCAUCGACGCUCGUCCACCUCGGGGAGUACCAGGCGGCUGUGGACAGCGGCAGGAAGGCCAACAGCACACGGACGUGGAAGGAGGUGUGUUUCGCGUGUGUGGAUGGCGAGGAGUUCCGGUUGGCACAAAUCUGCGGCCUCCACAUUGUGAUCCACGCUGACGAGCUGGAGGACCUGAUCAGCUACUAUCAGGACCGUGCAUACUUCGAGGAGCUCAUCGCUCUGCUGGAGGCUGCGCUGGGCCUGGAGCGCGCCCACAUGGGCAUGUUCACAGAGCUCGCCAUCCUCUACUCAAAGUUCAAACCUCAGAAGAUGAGGGAGCACCUCGAGCUCUUCUGGUCCAGAGUCAACAUCCCAAAGGUCCUUCGUGCAGCAGAGCAGGCUCAUCUAUGGGCAGAGCUGGUGUUCCUUUACGAUAAAUAUGAGGAGUUUGAUAAUGCCGCAAUCACAAUGAUGUCUCAUGCCACAGAUGCGUGGAAAGAAGGGCCGUUCAAGGACAUUAUUGCUAAGGUUGCCAAUGUUGAGCUGUACUAUAAAUCUCUUUCCUUUUACCUGGAAUAUAAACCCCUCCUAAUUAAUGACCUGCUGACCAUCCUGUCUCCGCGGUUGGACCACAGCCGAGCUGUCACCUUUUUCAGCAAGAUGAACCAGCUGAAGUUGGUCAAGCCUUACCUGAGGUCUGUCCAGAGUCACAACAACAAGUCCGUCAACGAAGCCCUCAACAACCUGCUGACAGACGAGGAAGACUUCCAGGGCCUGAGAGCAUCCAUUGAUGCCUAUGAUCACUUUGACACCAUUGACCUGGCGCAGAGGUUAGAGAAACAUGAGCUGAUUGAGUUCAGGCGCAUCGCAGCGUACCUAUACAAAGGCAACAACCGCUGGAGACAGAGUGUGGAGCUCUGCAAGCAGGACAAACUCUACAAGGAUGCCAUGCUGUACGCCGCAGAGUCUAAGGACGCAGAGCUGGCAGAGACCCUGCUCCAGUGGUUCCUGGAGGAGGACAGGAAGGAGUGCUUCGCAGCCUGCCUGUUCGCCUCCUACGACCUGCUGCACCCGGACGUGGUGCUGGAGCUGGCCUGGAGGAACAACAUCAUGGACUUUGCCAUGCCGUACUUCAUCCAAGUCAUGAGAGAGUACAUGACAAAGGUUUCUGAUGUAGGAACCUAGCAUGGACUGUAGACUGAGUACGGCCUCACUAGCUCUGGUCUUGGAGAGCUGUAGUGGUGGACGAACUGGAGGAGGCAGACAGCCAAAGGAAAACUGAAGAGGAGGUGACAGAGCCUCAGCCCAUAGUGUUCGGCCAGCAGCUGAUGUUGCCUGCCUCUCCUGCUCCGGUGGCUGCCCAGCCGCCGUACCCAGGCUACGGUUACCCAGCUGCCCCGGCGGGCUUCCCUGCUCAGCCUGCCUACGGCUACAACAUGUAGAGGCUUAACCCCGCCUCGUCCACCCCUCUCCCCUGCACAUACUCACACACCUUGGACCUAAACCACACUGAACCGUGCUGCUCUGGGUCUCAAUUGGCAGCACGGAGACCCCUGAAACUGACCUGGUCCUUCAUUCCCAAUGAGACUGAAACUGCAAUAUAAAUCCAUCAUCUCUACUUCUCCACACAUACUGCAGAACGACCCGCUCUUACAAGAUUGCUGUACCCUCCCCCCCCUUUCUUUUUUCCACAUGGACAGUAUAAUUGCAUCCCUGAUCUACACAGCAUGAAGUCACCUCUCAGCUUCUAGAGGAAUUAACACACCGAAGAAAAUACGAGUCACACUAAACCACCUGUUGCUGUUCCAUAUAGACUUUAUUAACAAUAGAGCUACUUUAUUUUCAAAAAGAUUCAGCACUGAUGAGGAAGAGACUUGUUACCGAGGAGAGGAGGGGGCUUGGGUGUGUCUCCCUGGUCCCUUCUAUAGCACUGCUACGGCCUUAUUUACUUUGAGGAGGCUGCAAAAAAACUGGCUCAUUUGUUCAUGUUAAAUUUCACAACUGUCUCAUGCUCUGGUUAGACAGAUGGUUACUGUGCAAUAGUUUUGUUUGUCUUCUCACAACAGUUACACAAGUGUUUGCUGUAUAUGGACUGAGAACACUUGUUUAUGAGGUUAUGAUACUGUCUGUGGAUGUGUGUGUGUGAGUGUGUAAUGUAGCCUCUAAAGCAUUUGAGGGAUACGUCAACAAACCAAGAGACACUCAAUGAAAUGUCCAUCACCUGCAAACCUUUCAGAGCUGUUGAUUGUGUCCAUCGACUUUUUGGACUGCGGACAUCUGGAUUUCCAGUAUGCUUGUGACAACAAGAAAGAGGAAAGAAAGAAGGUGAAAUAAUAAUAAAAAAAUGCUAUAUGCUGUAGUCUGUGCAUGUGCUGCCAAACUAUAAUGCUGCAACCAGGAGCACAAUUUUCAUGUUGCAUAUAUCAAGUAUUACUAAUGUUGUGUGUGACGUUAUAUGAAACUUUCUCACCCGACUAACAGAAAGCGGUGAUGAAGCUCCUACAGACUCGAGUAAAUGAAAACGCUGGAUCAUUAGCUCACAUCCUGGUGCCAGUUGGUUCACAAAAAUAAUCAUUAUUGUACUGAAAACUGUAUAAUUUAAGCUAUAUUGAAAUACCUAACUAAUCAAAGAAGUCAGAUAUUAUGGAAUACCGUAUGUAUUGUCUAUAGUGUGUUGUUGUAGUCUCAAAAAGCAUAAUGAUUUUUUGUAAGAAAAUGACAAAAUGCAAAAACAGCAGGUUAAUAAAUGGCAAAGUCUUGAGGCAAGGCUGCUCAAAGUGACAGUUUA